CUAAAUGACUCUCGGCAACGGAUAUCUCGGCUCUUGCAUCGAUGAAGAACGUAGCAAAAUGCGAUACUUGGUGUGAAUUGCAGAAUCCCGUGAACCAUCGAGUCUUUGAACGCAAGUUGCGCCUGAAACCAUUAGGUUGAGGGCACGUCUGCCUGGGUGUCACAC
RNAcentral lists this ribosomal RNA (165 nucleotides) under Galactia marginalis. Its description in RNAcentral is "5.8S ribosomal RNA". It matches the Rfam family "5.8S ribosomal RNA". From Rfam's summary of the family: 5.8S ribosomal RNA (5.8S rRNA) is a component of the large subunit of the eukaryotic ribosome. Lineage: Eukaryota; Viridiplantae; Streptophyta; Magnoliopsida; Fabales; Fabaceae. The record is from RNAcentral.